UACGUAGGGAGCGAGCGUUGUCCGAAGUUACUGGGCGUAAAGCGCGCGUAGGCGGUUCUUUAAGUCCGGCGUGAAAGGUUCAGGGCUCAACCCGAACAGUGCGCUGGAGACUGGAGAGCUUGAGGACGGGAGAGGGAAGCGGAAUUCCGGGUGUAGCGGUGAAAUGCGUAGAUAUCCGGAGGAACACCGAUGGCGAAGGCAGCUUCCUGGCCCGUAUCUGACGCUGAGGUGCGAAAGCGUGGGGAGCGAACGGG
Molecule: ribosomal RNA, 254 nt
Filed under: uncultured bacterium
Lineage: Bacteria
Description: partial 16S ribosomal RNA
Rfam family: Bacterial small subunit ribosomal RNA
Source: RNAcentral